This 276-nucleotide ribosomal RNA is filed under the name uncultured bacterium. Its description in RNAcentral is "partial 16S ribosomal RNA". It matches the Rfam family "Bacterial small subunit ribosomal RNA", at positions 524 to 796 of the family's 1533-position model. The record is from RNAcentral.
UACGAAGGGGGCUAACGUUGUUCGGAUUUACUGGGCGUAAAGCGCACGUAGGCGGAUUAGCAAGUUAGGGGUGAAAUUCCCGGAGCUCAACUCCGGAACUGCCUUUAAAACUGCUAGUCUAGAGAUCGGGAGAGGUGUAUGGAACUCCUAGUGUAGAGGUGGAAUUCGUAGAUAUUAGGAAGAACACCAGUGGCGAAGGCGAUACACUGGCCCGAUACUGACGCUGGAGGUGACGAAAGCGUGGGGAGCAAACAGGAUUAGAUACCCCGGUAGUCC